CCUACGGGUGGCAGCAGCAAGGAAUUUUCCGCAAUGGGCGAAAGCCUGACGGAGCAACGCCGCGUGCGGGAUGACGCUUUUCGGAGUGUAAACCGCUGUUCAUGGGGACGAAGCACUGACGGUACCCAUGGAGGAAGGCCCGGCUAACUACGUGCCAGCAGCCGCGGUAAUACGUAGGGGUCGAGCGUUGUCCGGAGUUACUGGGCGUAAAGCGCGCGCAGGUGGCUCAUUGCGCCCGGCGUGAAAGCCCCCGGCCUAACCGGGGAGGGUCGUCGGGGACGGGUGAGCUUGAGGGUAUCAGGGGCUGGUAGAAUUCCCGGUGUAGUGGUGAAAUGCGUAGAGAUCGGGAGGAAUACCCGUGGCGAAGGCGGCCAGCUGGGAUACACCUGACACUGAGGCGCGAAGGCGUGGGGAGCGAACGGGAUUAGAUA
Molecule: ribosomal RNA, 431 nt
Filed under: uncultured bacterium
Lineage: Bacteria
Description: bacterial SSU rRNA
Rfam family: Bacterial small subunit ribosomal RNA
Source: RNAcentral